Molecule: ribosomal RNA, 494 nt
Filed under: uncultured bacterium
Lineage: Bacteria
Description: partial 16S ribosomal RNA
Rfam family: Bacterial small subunit ribosomal RNA
Source: RNAcentral
AUUGAACGCUGGCGGCAGGCCUAACACAUGCAAGUCGGGCGAACGAGGCUUCGGCCAAGUGAGCGGCGAACGGGUGAGUAACACGUAGGAAUCUGCCUGGUAGUGGGGGACAACGUCUCGAAAGGGACGCUAAUACCGCAUACGCCCUACGGGGGAAAGCUGGGGAUCUUCGGACCUAGCGCUAUCAGAUGAGCCUGCGUCGGCUUAGCUAGUUGGUAGGGUAAAGGCCUACCAAGGCGACGAUCCGUAACUGGUCUGAGAGGAUGAUCAGGCACACCGGAACUGAGACACGGUCCGGACUCCUACGAGAGGCGGCAGUGGGGAAUAUUGGACAAUGGGGGCAACCCUGAUCCAGCCAUGCCGCGUGUGUGAAGAAGGCCUUCGGGUUGUAAAGCACUUUAGGUCGGGAGGAAGGUUCGCUGGCUAAUAUCCGGCGGAAUUGACGUUACCGACAGAAUAAGCACCGGCUAACUUCGUGCCAGCCGCCGCAGUAA